UGCGCAGGCGGACUAAUAAGUCAGUGGUGAAAUCUCUCGGCUCAACCGAGAAACUGCCAUUGAAACUGUAAGUCUUGAGUAUAGUUGUAGUGGGCGGAAUAUGUCAUGUAGCGGUGAAAUGCUUAGAUAUGACAUAGAACACCGAUCGCGAAGGCAGCUCACUAAGCUAUAACUGACGCUCAGGCACGAAAGCGUGGGGAGCAAACAGGAUUAGAUACCCUGGUAGUCC
This 229-nucleotide ribosomal RNA is filed under the name uncultured bacterium. Its description in RNAcentral is "partial 16S ribosomal RNA". It matches the Rfam family "Bacterial small subunit ribosomal RNA", at positions 568 to 796 of the family's 1533-position model. The record is from RNAcentral.